UACAGGGGGGUGCAAACGUUGCUCGGAAUCAUUGGGCGUAAAGCGCACGUAGGCGGUUCGUUAUGUCGGAUGUGAAAGCCCUUGGCUUAACCGAGGAAGUGCAUCCGAAACUGGCGAGCUAGAGUACGAAAGAGGAUCGCGGAAUUCCCGGUGUAGAGGUGAAAUUCGUAGAUAUCGGGAGGAACACCGGUGGCGAAGGCGGGUCUCUGGGCCGUAACUGACGCUGAGGAGCGAAAGCGUGGGGAGCGAACAGG
Molecule: ribosomal RNA, 254 nt
Filed under: uncultured bacterium
Lineage: Bacteria
Description: partial 16S ribosomal RNA
Rfam family: Bacterial small subunit ribosomal RNA
Source: RNAcentral